Molecule: ribosomal RNA, 497 nt
Filed under: uncultured bacterium
Lineage: Bacteria
Description: partial 16S ribosomal RNA
Rfam family: Bacterial small subunit ribosomal RNA
Source: RNAcentral
GAUGAACGCUGGCGGCGUGCCUAAUACAUGCAAGUCGAGCGAACAGACGAGGAGCUUGCUCCUCUGACGUUAGCGGCGGACGGGUGAGUAACACGUGGAUAACCUACCUAUAAGACUGGGAUAACUUCGGGAAACCGGAGCUAAUACCGGAUAAUAUAUUGAACCGCAUGGUUCAAUAGUGAAAGACGGUUUUGCUGUCACUUAUAGAUGGAUCCGCGCCGCAUUAGCUAGUUGGUAAGGUAACGGCUUACCAAGGCAACGAUGCGUAGCCGACCUGAGAGGGGGAGCGGCCACACUGGAACUGAGACACGGUCCAGACUCCUACGGGAGGAAGCAGUAGGGAAUCUUCCGCAAUGGGCGAAAGCCUGACGGAGCAACGCCGCGUGAGUGAUGAAGGUCUUCGGAUCGUAAAACUCUGUUAUUAGGGAAGAACAAAUGUGUAAGUAACUAUGCACGUCUUGACGGUACCUAAUCAGAAAGCCACGGCUAACUACGUG